AGACAUCAUAAAUGAGAAUUUGAGCGUAAGAUUACUAAUAUCAAACAUCUUGAAAGGGAAAAUUGUAAGCUUGUGGAAGUAUAAAUACAACAUAAAACGACUUAAACCUACCAAGUCUAAAUGAAUAUGACAUGACUGCAUUCUCUAAGUGCUCAUCAAUCACUCAAUUGGAUGCAGAGAUGUCUUCAAUUUAUAUUAGCACAUUAAAUUUACUCAUUUUUCCGUGCUCAACUGGUCGUGAAAUUCACAUACAAGGCCGGCAUCAAGAGAAAUCUAUGCUGCCCUUCCCUGAUCGAAAUUAAUUAAUUUGAGAUCAAAUCAUAAUAAACAAUUCGGUAAACUCACAUUAAAGAUACAAGUGUUCCAGUAUCUAAUCAUGUGUGCUAACGUAGAUACUAGAAGAUAAGAGGAAUCCUAGAUCAUUAUUUUCCAGCACUGAUAAUGUGUCCAACAUAGGUUUGUGAUUGGCAACCCUGCCAACGACACCACCUCCUACCAGUCAAGAUAACGACACCACCUCUUACCACAGAAAGAUGCCCUAUAGAUAAUAGAGGAGAUGGGCAUGAUUUGGGAUGCAAUGAACCCACAAAUGGAUUGCUCCCACUGUCUGUAAGGUGACGAGUGGAAGUGGGCCUUCUAGACAUUGUUUUGCUAUUAUGAUGAGCCUGCUAGAUAUGAAAUUGAUGCAGUAGAAAAUAAGACACAUUUCCAAAGCACAAAAUAAAUAAAUAAAUAAAUAAAUAAUAAUAAUAAUAAUAAUAAUAAUAAUAAUAAUAAUAAUAAUAAUAAUAAUAAUAAAAGACGUUCCAUUUAUCACAUACAAGACACCAUUCAAUGAAAAAUCACAUCUCAUUCAUCACUUGCAAACAAAGGUCACUUAUGUGGACACAUAGCAUCAUCAUGCCAUUAAACAUUCCAAAAAAUAGAGUAAUUAGUUUACUAUAAGCUAAGUCAUGCAACAUGAUUCAAGUUGGCAAUCCUCAUACCAAGGGACCUUAGCCCUCUAAUGAAUUAUUAGCACUAUAUUACACCGACUUUACCAAUUGAAAUAAAAGACAUUCCUGAUCAUUUAGUGAUGUGAAUUACAUCAUCCUAACAUGCAAGGCUGCCAUGAGUUGAUUGCUGUGGACACACGUUAAUUUCACAAUUUGAAUUAUCACUUGGCUAACAUUAAAAAUAAACUUUAAAAAGAAGCAGAAUUUUAAACAAGUUAUGCCAAAUCACAGCACGGCAUUCCAAAUCACAUAUAUGUGUUAUCCAUCUAUCUUGAAAUAUCCUUCUAUCAAUAUACCAUAUGUGACGAGAUUAGCCUUCAAGUUCUUUUGUAGCAUCUUGCAUAGUAAGUCUAAUGCUAUAUCCAUGUUCCCUUUCCUACAGUUUCCAAGAAUCAAGCUUAUCGAACAAUUCUAAAGCACUGUUUAAAUCUCCUAGCUGACAGUACCCUUUCAUCAAGCUUGUAGCAACAACCAAAUUGAUCGUAUAUCCCCUACUUAUCAUCUCAUCCUUAAGCUUUAACGCCUCAGUUAUUCCUCUGCUUCACACAUGUAAUAAUCACAUUUGUAAUUGUACCCUCAGAAGGAACCCAAUCCAUCUUCUUCAUCUCAUUCAACAAAUCACAUGCAACGAAGAGGGGAGGGCCUGGAGGAGCCAAGUACAACAUAUAAAGAAGAAAAGCCUAGCUUCAUUUGGGCAUAUAGAAAAUAGACGGAAAACAAAACCAGCCUAGAGGAGCAUUACAAGGUUUGUGCUUUCAUUAGGAGUAAUUCCGGGAUCUGUUAGGAACUUAUUAUCUAAAGUUGUUCGGCUUUGGUCCAUGAAUAUCAAUGAUGAGCUUAUUAUUGACUCAAUCACUGACUUGCGACUAAUCUGGUAUCCAAGUACUAACUUGUAUAUAUAAAUCAGAAAUCAACGCAAUGCAUCAUAUAUUCCAAUACUUCCAUUUUCCCUGUAUAACGCCACCACGUGAUUAGACUUACCAAUUAGGACCCUGGCAAAUGACAAACUGGAUGUCGAUUCAGAAGUUACAUAUGUAUCAUUUAAUGAUAAAUAUAGCACGAUAAAAUCAGGCUUAUCAUUGACAUGUGAUCUAAUAAAACCACAACAACAUUUGCCAUCUAUACGCCCAAGACGUGAGUAAAAUUUCCAAUAUUUAACAUCAAUACUAUCCAAAGAAUGGAAUAUGUGCAAUCAUAAUUUGAAUACUGAUCACCAACAUUCACGUUUACCUAUCACAAAUAAAUAAUGAAGAAAAUGAAACUAAAAAGAAAAUAAGCGGGGAUGGGCUGACAAACUUACAAGAGCACGGGGAUUAUUUGGGUAUUUGGAGAGAAGACUCGCGGAGUGCUUGAGGGCGUUCUUGAACUAGUGAGAAUCGAUGGCAUCCCAAAUGGGUCGGACCCGCCGUCCCGGAAUGCCACCCGCUAACCCGAAUUUGGAUGCCAUUUAAGAAAAAUAGUUCUUAAGAAUUCUGAUCGCUUAACGGGUGCAAUUAACGGAACAGGGAAAAUAAAAAUAAAUAUAGUGCUGGGUUGGGAAUUUGGAGACGCGCAGGUGAAGGGGCUCUGCCUCCUAUCCAAAGAUUGAAGAAGAGGAAGAGGAAGAAGAAAGAGGAGAAAGGGGCCAAGAUUUCAUUUUGUCUCCGUAUUUAGGUUGGGGGUAAUGGAAGAAAGGUCGUUUCCCAUGUUUUGGAUUUGCAGCGUUUUUUUGCCUCAAAACACUCAAAACGUCUGUUUUGACGUUUUGAGUUUCCUUCACAUUUUUUUUUGUUUUCAAAAAUUCUUUUUCGAAAAUGAAAAAGAGAAGGCGUUUUCACCGUUUUGAAAAAUUAAAAACAGAAAACGGCCCGAAAAUAAUAAAGAGAAUAGGGCCUAAAUGUUUGACCAAAUUAUAUACACAUGUGAUAAUAAAUGUCCGACAAUUGUACGGUUUCCUUAAUGUAAACAAUAGAUCGGUCCAAAGAUAGGUUUAUUAUUUGACAUAGUUUAUUAUCAAUAUUUGGUUAUUACGCCAAGAGCACCACUUAGAAGUUGGUAUUUCUGGCCAAAGACUUAAUGUCAAUAUUGUGCUAGGUAUCUUGUGGUGGGGAGUUCACCAUUAUUUGAAUUUAUUAAUUGCUUAAUACGGAUUUUAACGUGGACACAUUUCUUUGAUUUUAUUCUCUAUUCAGUUAACUCUUCAUCUUCUACAAUAUUUGCCAACAUCAACUCAUUCCUGUGCUGAAUGGAACCAACUUUAAAGACUAAAAGGAGAAUGUUUAGAUUGUUCCUGGUAGCAUGGACUUAAACCUUGCGUUAAGGACUGAACAACCCGCUGCAUUUAUAGAUAAAAAUUUCGCUAAUAAAAAGGGGAGACUUUGAUAAGUGGGCUCGUUCAAACUGCAUGAGUCUUAUGAUUGUGAAAUGUUGUGUUUCAGAAUCAUUCGGGGGUACUGUGUCUGAUAAGGUAACCACUAUCAAGGAAUUUCUUGAUAAAAUUAAAAAACACUUUACAAAAAGUGAUAAGGCCGAAGCUAGUGUGUUUUUGAUGAACUUAGUUUCACUAAGGUAUAAAGGUAAAGAAAAUAAUCGGAAGUACAUAAUGGAGGUGUCUCAUAUUACUUCAAAAUUGGAGGUACUAAAGUUUGAACUAUUUGAUGAUUUGCUCGUGCAUUUGGUUUUGAUUUCUCUUCCUGACAAUACAAUCAAUUCAAGGUCAGUUACAACUGUUAAAAAGAAAAGUGAAAUCUAAAUGAGAUGAUUUCAUACAAUGUGCAGGAAGAAUAAAAGUUGAAGCAAGACAGGACUAAAGUGUUCACUUGGCUAAUAUCUCUAACGACAAGUUCAAGAAAAUAAAGAAUAAAGAAGUUCUACUCGGUCCAGCUCAAAAGAAAUAGCAAAAGCCUGAAAAUGAUGAAUCAUCAAACUGUUACUUUUUUGGAAUCCUGGAACACUUGGAAAGGGAUUGUACCAAAUACCACGCUUGACGUGUAAUGAAAGGUACGUUUCUCACUUUGGUUUGUUUUGAGGUUAAUUUAGUUUCCGUACUUGACAUACUUGGUGGACUGAUUCCAAUGCCACUACUCAUAUAAAUGUGUAUAUACAGGGUCGCUAAACAGCCAAAAGCUAAAUAAUGCCAAAAGAUUCAUCUCUGUGGACAACACAAGUCAGUUGAGGUUGAGGCUAUAGGGACUUUUAGAUUAUUAUUAAAGAAUGGUAUUUAUUUUGAUUUGAAAGAGACUUUUGUGGUACCGUCUUUUAGAUGAAAUUUUGUUCUAUUUAUGUAUUAAACAAAUUCAAUUAUUUUUGUUCAUCUGGAAAUCCUAAAGUUAGUCUUUUUCUUGAUUCAAAUCUUGUCGGUACCCUUUUUUUUUAUCUAAAUAUAAUAAUCUAUACUUGUCUAAUUCGGUUGCCUCUUAUUUUAAACCUUGCAUGUGAAUUCAAGAGGUAUUAAACAUAAAAUUAACCAAUGAGAAUUCUGCUUCAUUAUGGCACAAGCGUUUAGAUCACAUUUCUCGAAAGAGAAUUGAAAAGCUUGUAUCAGAAGGAAUUCUUGAUCCCCUUGAUUUUUUAGACUCAAGUUAUUAAGGGGAAACAAACAAACAUAAAGAGAUUAGGUGCUAAUAGAACUUUGAACAUCUUAGAACUAAUUCAUAUGAAUAUAUAUGGGCCAUUCACUUCAGCUUUUUGGAAUAGUCAACGAUCAUUUAUUACGUUCAUAGAUGAUUAUUCUUGCUAUGACUACCUAUAUCUCAUUUCAUGAGGCAUCCUAUACAUGUUAAACACUCAUAAGGCUAAAGUUGAAAAUCAACUCAGCGAAAGACUAAAACACGUUAGAUCUAAUCGUGGUGGAGAAUACUUGAUGGGAG
RNAcentral lists this long non-coding RNA (4843 nucleotides) under Olea europaea subsp. europaea. Lineage: Eukaryota; Viridiplantae; Streptophyta; Magnoliopsida; Lamiales; Oleaceae. The record is from RNAcentral.